Molecule: long non-coding RNA, 164 nt
Organism: Monopterus albus (swamp eel)
Lineage: Eukaryota; Metazoa; Chordata; Actinopteri; Synbranchiformes; Synbranchidae
Exons: 3
Source: RefSeq, a predicted model, not a curated record
CAGCCCUUGAUGAACAGUGCAUGACAAAAGUAACAUCCCUAAGUGAGCUGUUCUUCUAAACCAAGGUCCACUUUAACACUCUUGUAUUCAGCUGUAAGGUUAGUCAGUGCAUUCACUGUUGUGCCUGCUGAGUGCACAGAGACUGGCACAGACCUCUUGACUGC